Molecule: ribosomal RNA, 612 nt
Filed under: Leptobrachium ailaonicum (Yunnan mustache toad)
Lineage: Eukaryota; Metazoa; Chordata; Amphibia; Anura; Megophryidae
Description: partial 16S ribosomal RNA
Rfam family: Bacterial large subunit ribosomal RNA
Source: RNAcentral
GUUAGGACUAGUAACACAGAAUUUUUCUCUUAUAUGUGAGUAUAUAUCAGCCUGGAUACUCCACUGAUAAUUACCCAGUUCUGAGCAUAGAGUAAUAUUGACAUUCCAUGAAAACAUUAYUUAUACCACUGUUAACCUUACACAAGAACAUAAAAGAAAGAUAAAAAGCUUAAGAAGGAACUCGGCAAACACAAAUCCCGCCUGUUUACCAAAAACAUCGCCUUUUGAAUUAUAUAAAAGGUAACGCCUGCCCAGUGACAUCAUGUUCAACGGCCGCGGUAUUCUGACCGUGCGAAGGUAGCGUAAUCACUUGUCUUUUAAAUAAAGACUAGUAUGAAUGGCACUACGAGGAUUUAGCUGUCUCCUUAAGCUCAUCAGUGAAACUGAUCUCCCCGUGCAAAAGCGGGGAUAAAUUCAUAAGACGAGAAGACCCUAUGGAGCUUAAAACUAAUAGCCGCCUAUGCUAUCUGCUAACAUAAAUAGCACUAUGACAAUAAACCCGGCCUACGUUUUCAGUUGGGGUGACUAUGGAGAAAAACCCAUCCUCCAUGAAGAAACAAGCCCUGAGUUACCACUCUACGCAUUAGCAAGCCUGACUUUACUUGAUCCAAU